Molecule: ribosomal RNA, 559 nt
Filed under: Phakopsora euvitis
Lineage: Eukaryota; Fungi; Basidiomycota; Pucciniomycetes; Pucciniales; Phakopsoraceae
Description: eukaryotic LSU rRNA
Rfam family: Eukaryotic large subunit ribosomal RNA
Source: RNAcentral
GGAUUCCCCCAGUAACGGCGAGUGAAGAGGGAAAAGCCCAAAUUUGUAAUCUGGCUCUUUUAGAGUCCGAGUUGUAAUUUUGAGAACUGUUUUCUGUGCUGGACCAUGUUUAAGUCUGUUGAAAAACAGCAUCAUUGAGGGUGAUAAUCCCGUUCAUGAUAUGGACUACCAGUGCUCUAUGAUACAGUCUCUAAGAGUCGAGUUGUUUGGGAAUGCAGCUCAAAGUGGGUGGUAAAUUCCAUCUAAGGCUAAAUAUAGGUGAGAGACCGAUAGCAAACAAGUACCGUGAGGGAAAGAUGAAAAGAACUUUGGAAAGAGAGUUAACAGUACGUGAAAUUGCUGAAAGGGAAACAAUUGAAGUUAGCCUUGUUAUUUCCAGUUCAACCCUUUUAGGGUGUAUUCUGGUGAUUAACGACCAACAUCAGUCUUUGAGUGCUGGAUAAGGGUUUUGGAAAUGUAGCAGUCUAGGCUGUGUUAUAGUCCAUUACUUUGAUACAGUGCUUAGGAUUGAGGAUCGCAGUAAGCCAAUCUUGGUGGAUCAAUUUAUUGGUCUUCUUAC